Molecule: ribosomal RNA, 498 nt
Filed under: uncultured bacterium
Lineage: Bacteria
Description: bacterial SSU rRNA
Rfam family: Bacterial small subunit ribosomal RNA
Source: RNAcentral
AUGAACGCUAGCGACAGGCCUAACACAUGCAAGUCGAGGGGCAGCGCGGGAGAAGCUUGCUUUCCUGGCGGCGACCGGCGCACGGGUGCGUAACAGGUGUGCAAUCUGUCCAUAGUCGGGGGGAUAGCCCAGCGAAAGCUGAAUUAACACUCCAUGUGAAUCGAAGCCGCAUGACUUUGAUUUGAAACGCAAGGACUAUGGGUGAGCACGCUUCUGAUUAGCUAGUUGGUGGGGUAACGGCUCACCAAGGCGACGAUCAGUAGGGGUUCUGAGAGGAAGGUCCCCCACAUUGGAACUGAGACACGGUCCAAACUCCUACGGGAGGCAGCAGUGAGGAAUAUUGGUCAAUGGGCGAGAGCCUGAACCAGCCAAGUCGCGUGAAGGAAUGAAGGUUCUAUGGAUUGUAAACUUCUUUUGUCCGAGGGUAAAAAAGGCCACGUGUGGCUUCUUGCAAGUAUCGGACGAAUAAGCAUCGGCUAACUCCGUGCCAGCAGCAGC